GGAUGCGAUCAUACCAGCACUAAAGCACCGGAUCCCAUCAGAACUCCGUAGUUAAGCGUGCUUGGGCGAGAGUAGUACUGGGAUGGGUGACCUCUUGGGAAGUCCUCGUGUUGCAUUCC
This 119-nucleotide ribosomal RNA is filed under the name Triticum aestivum (bread wheat). Lineage: Eukaryota; Viridiplantae; Streptophyta; Magnoliopsida; Poales; Poaceae. The record is from RNAcentral.